RNAcentral lists this ribosomal RNA (470 nucleotides) under uncultured bacterium. Its description in RNAcentral is "bacterial SSU rRNA". It matches the Rfam family "Bacterial small subunit ribosomal RNA", at positions 28 to 502 of the family's 1533-position model. The record is from RNAcentral.
GAUGAACGCUGGCGGCGUGCCUAACACAUGCAAGUCGAACGGAGCUGCUUUGAUGAAGUUUUCGGAUGGAUUUAAAACAGCUUAGUGGCGGACGGGUGAGUAACGCGUGGGUAACCUGCCUCACACUGGGGGAUAACAGUUAGAAAUAGCUGCUAAUACCGCAUAAGCGCACGGUUCCGCAUGGAACAGUGUGAAAAACUCCGGUGGUGUGAGAUGGACCCGCGUCUGAUUAGCCAGUUGCGGGGUAACGGCCCACCAAAGCGACGAUCAGUAGCCGGCCUGAGAGGGUGAACGGCCACAUUGGGACUGAGACACGGCCCAAAACUCCUACGGGAGCAGCAGUGGGAAUAUUGCACAAUGGGGGAAACCCUGAUGCAGCGACGCCGCGUGAGUGAAGAAGUAUUCGGUAUGUAAAGCUCUAUCAGCAGGGAAGAAAGUGACGGUACCUGAAUAAGAAGCCCCGGCUAACU